Long non-coding RNA from Limulus polyphemus (Atlantic horseshoe crab), 259 nucleotides. RefSeq lists it as uncharacterized. The record is from RefSeq and is a predicted model, not a curated record. The transcript is spliced from 3 exons. Lineage: Eukaryota; Metazoa; Arthropoda; Merostomata; Xiphosura; Limulidae.
CACCAGAUGUUAGGAGUUGUAUGUUGUAUUUAUAAAGAAUAUUACCGAGGCUGCUGUUUCCAGUUGGGUAAAGCACCAGGUUUGUGGAUCAUCCAUCUUGAACCUAGAAUAAUUAAAUCCAUACGCUUGAGAGAAAAGGAAGCUUUGAGGAAUGAUUCGUUCAAACUUUAGGGAUGCAAAGGCAUGGGCAGAGGAAGGACUUGUUUUAUCAACCAGCAAUGACCAGGCAUGUAAGCUGUUUGAUGCAGCUCUUACUCAG